This is a long non-coding RNA of Dreissena polymorpha, 5083 nucleotides long. RefSeq lists it as uncharacterized. NCBI's taxonomy places the organism in Eukaryota, Metazoa, Mollusca, Bivalvia, Myida, Dreissenidae. The transcript has 4 exons. The record is from RefSeq and is a predicted model, not a curated record.
UUGGAUAUUUGGGAGAAAUUCCAUAAUAUUGUCUGGUGACUGAAUCUUCGAACAGACGACUGUUGCUUAAAUGAGAUUUACGCCUCAUAUUUUUUGGAAGGAACUGAUUUAAAUGGAACUUGAAAUUCACAUUUAUCUGUGAAGUUAAGUAACGAAUUUAAAGUAGAAAUGCGUUCAGUUAAUGUAAAUGUGUAACUCAACUUUGGAGUUGAAUGACGGAUUUUAUAGUUGUACAGCACCAAAUGUGGCGUAUGGUUUAAUCCAUUAGCAGACGCAUGUGCUGAAGUUGAGGAUUAUGACAAAGUUGGCAAUGUAUUGUGUACUGAACGAGUGUUUACAUCCGCCAAAAGCACAUACAAAGUUUAUUAUCCUUUAUAUCUCGAAUGAUUUUCUACUGGCAAAUGUUUCUUGAAGGAUUUCCGUGUAAGACGCUUGAUUCUGACUUUAUGGGGGAUACGGAGGAUUCUGCGCAUGCCUAUUAUGUGAUUUAUUUCUUUUGAAGAGAAAAGGGAUUGCUUUAACGAUCUUUUUGGAUGUCAGACAAUAUCCUGUCUAGAAGCUCUUUGCAGGAAUAAAUCUUGAGCAUUCGGGAUGUCAGUCAAUAUCCGUUCUACGAAAUCUCCUUAGGCAUAAAUCUUAGGCAUUACUAUAGGCAAGGCCAAUGUUGAAAUUGUGAUUCUUUAUCCAUGGACUUACGAACGUGAGUUAUAUCUCGACAAACAUGACCGAAAUACUACUGAUUGUGGUUUCAGUUAUUUUAGGACUCGUGAAGACAGCUCGCGGGUUUUCAACACCUUUUGCAGCAAAUGAUACAACCACGACGACUUCCUCACCAGUUCCCCAGCCAAGACACGGCCCUGAGGACAAAUCUUUUCCGACCUGGUUGAUAGGAGUCAUCAUUCUGUCAUGUCUGGGAAUGAUCGUUGUUGUGGCCACCAUUACACAGAGGGUGAUUCGUCGAAGAAAUAACCGAAUGGAACAAUAUAGGCUGGGGAGUUAGUUAAUUACAUUUGUACAGCUGUAGUGCAUCUCGAGUUUUUACAUCCUAGUUGUAGUAUAUGUAUCUGCAUUAAUGUUGAUGACAUACAUGAACAUGCAAAAAGGAUGACGUGCUACGAAGGUGUUAACGAUAUUUUACUAAUCGAGUUUGCUGUUUGAGGUAUCAACCUCUAGUGUGAUGCUUCUUAACACGGUGACAACCAACGAUACAGAUACAAGUUAUCGCGACACCAUGUCAUAUUAGCGUAAAUUCUAUACACACCAAAGGAAAAUCCGCAAAUAUUUUAUAUCGAGUAAAAAGGGUUCGUUGUAUAACGAUUAUUGUUUAAGCCGGUGGAACAUCUUUCUUUUAAUUUGUCCGACAAAUACUGUGACACGGUAACAUAAGGCACCAGUAGCGAAUACCUUUUCUCAUAUUUGAAUUUAAAUGCAUUUUGUAUUGAUAUCAUCAAAAUGAAUGCUACAUGUACAUAAUAUAUGCAAAUCAUGCGCUCGCUGUACUACGGUAAUAAUGUUACACAGGAUUGCUCGUGUUUAAAAAAUGUUAAAACGUAAUAGACUUGUACAUGUGCUUCAGUGAACUAUAGCUAGCCACACUGUACUUUUAAUGUGUUUAGCCGAAGAACAUACAAGGAUAUACCAAACGAGUCCAUAGACAUUUGCAAAAGAAUAAGGCAGCUGAUCGCAAGAGCAUUGGAUUAAUGCACAAACAAUUAAUUGCCAAGCUUCGAAAUUGCAAAUGUCGUUAUAAACGGACAGAAGAGGUGGAAGAAAGGUUAAGAAAAUCUUGUUGAAGAAGCUAUACAUGCAUAUGAAUGGAACCUACUGCAAUGCAUAACGACAGAUGUUUACGAAGUUAUGCAGUUGAAACAAAGCUGACGGUUGCUUUAUGUCGCAACCUCCGCGCAGAGAUUAAACGGUAACCAGCAUAGCUGAAUUGUAUGGGCGUGCAAGGAAAGACAUAUCUGCGUGCGGAUUGUUAAUGUGGCCGAUCAAAAUAUGGCUUUUGCGACAAUAAUUUGUGUAAAUGGCAAAGAAGUGCUACAAGAUAAAUAAUGUUUGUGUAAAACAGCGAGAAACACUAAAGCAAGUGUAAGAAACAAACUUAACAUUCUUUGGAAUUAUUUGAUUUAGAAACAAUUGCCAUGGGGAAGCAAUUUAAACCACACACGUCUGAGCUCUUUGGCUAAACAGAAAAAAAAAACAAAUAUGUACAAUUUUAGACAUCCCGCUUAACUUCGAAUGACAGGAACAAAAUCGUACCGAACAGUAUUGAUACAUAUUGUUAUAAAUAUUUGUUCCAAACGUAAUUGCAAUGCGAUUUUUGUGCUCAACAAAUCUAACGCAAAUAAACAACUCAGUAGUGACUCAGUACCAGGAACUGAGGGGCGACGGAUUUUGGAGUCCUAUAUAAUUUCCAAGUACAAACGCACGGCAAAGACAGAGAUAUACGAGAUCAUCCAAUGUAUCGAUUAUGUGCCAUACGAUACGAAUAAAUAUUGCUGAUAGGAAUAGGAACUGCGUAGUGUUGGCGGACUGAUGGCUUUCCUAGAUAUCAUAAUGUAUGUGCUUCUUGCAAUACUAGUUCGGACAAUAAACAUUUGAGUCGUGUUCUGAGAAAACUGUGCAUAAUGCAUGUGCGUAAAGUGUCGUCCCAGAUAAGCCUGUGCAGUCUGCACAGGCUAAUCAGGGACGACACUUUCCGCCUAAAUUGGAAUUUUGCUAAGAAGAGACUUGUGGUCUGACAAAUUAGACUUUUCAUAACGCAAAAAACAAACAUUGAUUUAAUGCUGGGUAAAAUGUUUAAGGUUUAAUAUAACGCCAUAGCUAGAGAUUAACAAAGAUUAAUUAGAAGUCAGCAAAAAAUAUUUCAGAUGGAAUAUUUAUACUUCGAUCGUUUUCACAAAAACCUGAAGUACUCAACGAAGUCAGUUUAUCGAUGAAAUUAGUCUUGUUUUAAUGGGAUUGAAAUUAAUAAGUGCAAGCCACUCAAAAAAUCUUAAUUUAUGAAAAUUUCAUACAAUUUUAAAAUAAAUAUCACUAUAUUUAUAAUAUGUAUAUAAUAGUCGAGCUCACCGUUAGAAAUUUAGGUACUUACAUGCCAUUUAUGAAAUAAUUAUGGCUGAGGUAUUAUGUUAAUACAUGCUGAACAAUAUAAUAAAGAUUUAACUAAACCUAUUCAUGUUGAGACUAUGAUAUAUAUAUAAUUAAACUAUACGUAAAUGACAAAAAUUGUUACUUAAACUAAACGGCAAUAAAGCAUGCAUAAUGAUGUUGAAUGUAUACAUUCGUACGAUCAUCUGUUCAUACAGUUAUCUUAGUGUGCUCGUAUGUGUAAGUCAACUUAAAACAUGCAUUUGUUAUCGUUAUAUAUUUUCAAGUUGUUAUUAAUAAUAUGCUUUCUUUCUACUGUUGUUUUGGUCUCGUUAUCCAAACGUGUAAAACAGUUUGAGUCUUUCAUUUGUUGUUAUCGUUGCAGUAUUAUUUCUCGUAUUUGAUCAUUCCGUGUAGAUGACUGUACAAUUUUAUUCAAUUGUUUAAGUCGGUAUUCUGUGUAUUUAUAUAGCAUAACAAUAUUGCAAUACUUUUACAGUUGCUUUUUUCAACCAUCAUUUCCUUUUAUAGGAAAAUUUCCAUUUUCUGUUUUAGUAAAUUAUGUUGAACUCUGCUGACAUGUUGCCUUUGGUAUGUCAGGUAUAAUUAUAAUGCAGACAAUAUUACUUAUUAUAGCGUAUGGAUACUCGCUCUAUAAGCGAAGUUAUUUUAGUUUCUUUCGCUCGAUAUCCGUACAUCCAUACCCCGACAUUCCUGUUCUUCAAUGUAAUCGACCAAUAAAAAAGCUUCUUUGUUUCUAGUUACUUUACGGAAUAAAAUCAACAUUUGCUUCAGUUUUAAGUUAUGUAUGUGAAUUCAAGGCUUAUAAAUUACUGCCUUAUGUUAGAGUACAUGUUAUUUAUUAUCUAAAAUGUGUGCAAUAUUUCGUCUGACGCCAACGCAGUUAAGUAUACGUCUUUUUCUUUUUAAGAAUUUACGCUUUUUUUAUGUGUAUGAAAUAGUUGACAUUAAAUCCAUGCUUUAAUUCGGAAAUGUGAAAUAAGUGUAUUAAAUCCUGACUAAAAAUCCGCAGUGCUUACCCAUGUGUGUUCUUUACAAGAAACUAACAUUCUAUUACAAUGUCACUAUUCCCUAUUCAAAAUUAGUGCGUCUUAUCAUAGACAAUAGCCGUAUAACGACUUAUGAAGAAACGUGCACUUUCAUAGCAAUAAAAAACGUAAUUAAGGCAUUCUGACAGCCCAAGAGUAAUUGUAUUAAAGGGAUUUCUUCACUGAUGGACACAACAGUUUUGUUUGGUUACAUAUUUACAAGCGAUUAAACCACUGCACGCCAGUGGGCGAUAUAACACUAAGGAAAGAUACAUAUAGUGAAAAUGCUUGUUCGUUUCAGAGCAAUUAUCAUUUGAUUUUCAUACAAUUAUAAAUCAUUGAAAACAAUUAAAUAAAUUUGAGUUUUUUUUUAAAUUAUUACAACAAAAUGCAUGAUGCAAAUUGACAGUCCGGAUAUCCGACUUCAUGAAACAGCAUUUCCAUGUUGGUCCGAAGGACGCCCGUUCGAAUCCCCGUUUGGCUAACCUUUGUCUCUCUUAUAUAGAUCUUUAUUGAUAUACUUCAGAAACCCGUUAUGGUUUUAAUCUACAAAUUAAUAUUUUUUUGAUCUGUCAGCACAUUUCCUUUAAGCGUGUAUUCGAAACUACGAUCUUAAAAGCAUGCUCAUAAUCUUUAAGACCAAUGUCCCAAAUAUUUUUUUUAAAUUGAAUUUUGCUUAAUUUAUUUUAACACAAAAGAAACCACGUUGAUAUCGGUUAAAUACAAUUUCUGUAUGCACAUUAACCUGUCCAGUAAAUCAAGUAAGUUAAUUGUGUUUGUUCAAAACCAUCAACGUCGAUGUUUAAUAUUCCAGAUGCAAUUUGUGAAUUUAUUUAUUCUUAUUAAAACCAUGUCUUGCCUACACAGGGGAUUUCAUGAAACUUAAAUGUCUAGAGUUUCAUAAGAACUGAUAUUAUAUAAGAAUAAAUAGUAGUAUCUUU